CUGGCAAAGAAGUUAAUUCCCAUGUGUCAUUUUUUUCAAUGGAAUAAAUUUCUUCAUUCAUUUCCUUGAUCCACCUUUCAUUAUCAGCAGCGUCCUCGAACGAAACUGGAUCACAAUCUGCAAAAAAGACAAAAAUUUACCAAUGUUUCAUCGGUAAAGGUGGGACUGCUGUCAUUGUCAACACCUUCUUCAUUUCUCCUCAUAUCAAAAUCCUUGAAAUGUGGU
RNAcentral lists this long non-coding RNA (225 nucleotides) under Nicotiana benthamiana. Its description in RNAcentral is "long non-coding RNA (NBEN_LNC000744)". Lineage: Eukaryota; Viridiplantae; Streptophyta; Magnoliopsida; Solanales; Solanaceae. The record is from RNAcentral.